Molecule: long non-coding RNA, 1786 nt
Organism: Solanum pennellii
Lineage: Eukaryota; Viridiplantae; Streptophyta; Magnoliopsida; Solanales; Solanaceae
Exons: 4
Source: RefSeq, a predicted model, not a curated record
CAAAAAAUCACAUUAGUGAGUAUUUUAGGUGCCGUAAAAACCUUCCUAAAAUAUAAAUACGAACCCCCGAACCCUUUUUAAGUUAUCUCUAGGUUUUCCUGUUUAAAUAUUUGAAACUAAGUUUUUCUUGAUUUUUCCUUUAAAAAUUAAGUGACGACUCUAACAAGUCUAAAACAAUAAAAUAUUUUUUUUCUGGAAAUAAAACAUUCAUCAUUGCACAAAAUGCAAAAGAAGUGUAUUACGCUCCAUAUUCAUUGCGUAAAGACAAAGUUGAUUGGUGAAUUGUUAUAAAUACUAAACAUAUGAGAAGAAUUUCAAUUGACAAUGUCUUAGAUGUGGUGUACCAAAAUGAGGUUUCAAUUUUUCAGCAACAAGUUGGUGUUGAAUUGGAAACAACACUAGAACAGCCUCAACAUAUAUUAGAAGAAGUAUCUGAUGAUGAGAUUAUGAUAAAUGUUGAGGAAGAAAUAAAUGAGGAUUAGGAAAAAUGACAAUGAAAAUGAAACAACUUUGGAGGAAGAAUGGGAGAAUGAUGGAAAUGAAACAAGCUAGGAUAAAUAAAAGUAGAAUGAUAGACUUGAAAUCUAGUAUGUAAGUUAUUUAUUUCCCUAAUACUAAUUAUUUUUAAUUUAUGAAUUUUCUAUAUUAUCAAGGUAAAUUUGUAUGUAGAUGUCAUCAGGGGGUGAGAAUGAUAGAUGUCGUGAGCAUCUCUAAGUUAUUCAGCCUAAUAGACUAAAAGUAAGAAGUUUAGGAGACCUAUAGAUUUUGAGGUUAUUUCGGGAUUUCUUCCUUCAGCGCCGCAGCGCAUUACUCACGAUACUCAUUCAUUUGUUGUUCCAUUUGGUACGGAGGAUCCUCGAUAAUAUUAUCCUAAUUAUCGUCGAUUAGUUAGUGCUCCCUCUUCUUCAGAGUCACUGCCUCCACGACGCUACGACGGCCUACCUUUACAAGCUAUUCGUCGAGCACGAUCCUUAUUGGCUUCCCGUACUCCAUCUCCCAUAGGUGCAUCUCCUUAGCUAUCUGCCACGAGGAUUAGAGAUUCUAGUAGUGAGCAGUUCGAUGUUGUGGCCGGUACAACAUCAUUGACUCAACAUUAUGUGCAUCCUUGUGUAUCGCCUACACCUACACCAGAUGUGACGUCUAUUGUAGCACCGGAACAGAGGGACAGGAUUGGCAGGGUCAUGAUUGAGCCAGAGGGAUCAUCGUGGCAUCAUACAAAGGAUUCUGCCCACGCUUUAAAAGACCUUGUAAGAAGGUUAUUUACACAGCCUUAUCACUCCUGGAGUGAGAUCCCAAACAAUAUAUGUCAGGUGAUGUUUUAAUGAAUUCAAGACUAUGUGUACUUGGGGAUCGAAGUGUAAUAUGGUUAUUACAAGUACAUUUGAGAGGAGGACAUCCGCGAGACUGUCUAGCUGGCUAAUGAAAUCCCGGGAUACUGAUAAGUGUCCGGGUUGAAUGUUGCCUCAUGUGAUAGAUUGAUUGCACCAAUAUUAAAACACAUAUAAAUUCAAGGCGAUGUCCAAACAAGUCAAAAAGCGUAGAGGCAGUCUUAAGGAUGACUCAUUGCAUACUGGAGGUGCAAAGAGUGUUGAAAUAAUUACAAGAGAGAUGGAAAAAGAAAUGGGGCGCAUUCCCCUUGUGUCAGAGGUUUUCAAGAAGACCCAUGCUUAGAAGAAAGAAUAUGAGUCAGAUCCGGAUGUGUGGGUGGAGGAAAGGGUCGAACGAACUUCUGUAUGUUAUUUAAUAUGAAUAAUCUAUAUUAAUAGUGAAUAUAUUUAUGAUAUGU